UAUCGGUCCCCUCGCGACGCUAGAUCGUGAACCCCGCCAGGCCCGGAAGGGAGCAACGGUAACGGUCGAUGCGGGCGCCGGGGUGUGGCUGGUACGG
RNAcentral lists this signal recognition particle RNA (97 nucleotides) under Plasticicumulans acidivorans. Its description in RNAcentral is "gamma proteobacterium TUD-JY37 Bacterial small signal recognition particle RNA". It matches the Rfam family "Bacterial small signal recognition particle RNA". Rfam says of the family: The signal recognition particle (SRP) is a universally conserved ribonucleoprotein involved in the co-translational targeting of proteins to membranes. Archaeal SRP consists of a 7S RNA and homologues of the eukaryotic SRP19 and SRP54 proteins. The record is from Rfam by way of RNAcentral. Lineage: Bacteria; Pseudomonadati; Pseudomonadota; Gammaproteobacteria; Candidatus Competibacteraceae.